Molecule: non-coding RNA, 490 nt
Organism: Marmota flaviventris (yellow-bellied marmot)
Lineage: Eukaryota; Metazoa; Chordata; Mammalia; Rodentia; Sciuridae
Source: RefSeq, a predicted model, not a curated record
GAAUUCGUCCCAUUUGUUGAUUCUUGGUUUUAACUCUUGUGCUAUAGGAGUCUUAUUAAGGAAUUUGGGGCCUGCCUCCACGAGAUGAAGAUGAGGACCAACUUUAUCUUCUAUUAGACGCAGAGUCUCUGGUCUGAUUCCUCAGUCUGCCAUCUUGAAAGGGAGAAGAUGACCAAGGUUCAUCAGUGGAUGUGUCCUGUCUUGUGGAAACCCUCACAGUACUUCUCUGGGAGCUCGAGGACGGCCUGGUGCCUGCCCUGCAGCAGGGGAACACCCCCUAUGUCCAUGGGGUUUUGUAUUUGUACCAAGAUUUGGCCAGUACCCAGAAGGCUCUGGAGCUGCUGGGUAAAAGGUAUGGAUGCCACCAGCCAUAUGUUGAGGAGGAGUACCUUCAAGACAAGAAAUCAUGACUCACCUUCUUCUCAUUCCCUAAGAAACAAUAUUGAAGUUAGACCAGUUAAUUACUCUGUAAUGGACUGAACAGUUGGAA